RNAcentral lists this ribosomal RNA (1346 nucleotides) under uncultured bacterium. RNAcentral's name for it is "partial 16S ribosomal RNA". It matches the Rfam family "Bacterial small subunit ribosomal RNA", at positions 28 to 1381 of the family's 1533-position model. The record is from RNAcentral.
GACGAACGCUGGCGGCGUGCUUAACACAUGCAAGUCGAACGGAAAGGCCCUGCUUUUGUGGGGUGCUCGAGUGGCGAACGGGUGAGUAACACGUGAGUAACCUACCCUUGACUUUGGGAUAACUUCAGGAAACUGAGGCUAAUACCGGAUAGGAGCUCCUGCUGCAUGGUGGGGGUUGGAAAGUUUCGGCGGUUGGGGAUGGACUCGCGGCUUAUCAGCUUGUUGGUGGGGUAGUGGCUUACCAAGGCUUUGACGGGUAGCCGGCCUGAGAGGGUGACCGGCCACAUUGGGACUGAGAUACGGCCCAGACUCCUACGGGAGGCAGCAGUGGGGAAUAUUGCACAAUGGGCGGAAGCCUGAUGCAGCAACGCCGCGUGCGGGAUGACGGCCUUCGGGUUGUAAACCGCUUUCGCCUGUGACGAAGCGUGAGUGACGGUAAUGGGUAAAGAAGCACCGGCUAACUACGUGCCAGCAGCCGCGGUGAUACGUAGGGUGCGAGCGUUGUCCGGAUUUAUUGGGCGUAAAGGGCUCGUAGGUGGUUGAUCGCGUCGGAAGUGUAAUCUUGGGGCUUAACCCUGAGCGUGCUUUCGAUACGGGUUGACUUGAGGAAGGUAGGGGAGAAUGGAAUUCCUGGUGGAGCGGUGGAAUGCGCAGAUAUCAGGAGGAACACCAGUGGCGAAGGCGGUUCUCUGGGCCUUUCCUGACGCUGAGGAGCGAAAGCGUGGGGAGCGAACAGGCUUAGAUACCCUGGUAGUCCACGCUGUAAACGGUGGGUACUAGGUGUGGGGUCCAUUCCACGGGUUCCGUGCCGUAGCUAACGCUUUAAGUACCCCGCCUGGGGAGUACGGCCGCAAGGCUAAAACUCAAAGGAAUUGACGGGGCCCCGCACAAGCGGCGGAGCAUGCGGAUUAAUUCGAUGCAACGCGUAGAACCUUACCUGGGUUUGACAUGGAUCGGGAGUGCUCAGAGAUGGGUGUGCCUCUUUUGGGGUCGGUUCACAGGUGGUGCAUGGCUGUCGUCAGCUCGUGUCGUGAGAUGUUGGGUUAAGUCCCGCAACGAGCGCAACCCUUGUUCACUGUUGCCAGCACGUUAUGGUGGGGACUCAGUGGAGACCGCCGGGGUCAACUCGGAGGAAGGUGGGGAUGACGUCAAGUCAUCAUGCCCCUUAUGUCCAGGGCUUCACGCAUGCUACAAUGGCUGGUACAGAGAGUGGCGAGCCUGUGAGGGUGAGCGAAUCUCGGAAAGCCGGUCUCAGUUCGGAUUGGGGUCUGCAACUCGACCUCAUGAAGUCGGAGUCGCUAGUAAUCGCAGAUCAGCAACGCUGCGGUGAAUACGUUCCCGGGGCU